AGUGAACGCUGGCGGUAGGCCUAACACAUGCAAGUCGAACGGCAGCACAGGAGAGCUUGCUCUCUGGGUGGCGAGUGGCGGACGGGUGAGGAAUACAUCCGAAUCUACUCCGUCGUGGGGGAUAACGUAGGGAAAAUUACGCUAAUACCGUAUACGACCUACGGGUGAAAGCAGGGGACCUUCGGGCCUUGAGCGAUUGAAUGAGCCGAUGUCGGAUUAGCUAGUUGGCGGGGUAAAGGCCCACCAAGGCGACGAUCCGUAGCUGGUCUGAGAGGAUGAUCAGCCACACUGGAACUGAGACACGGUCCAGACUCCUACGGGAGGCAGCAGUGGGGAAUAUUGGACAAUGGGCGCAAGCCUGAUCCAGCCAUACCGCGUGGGUGAAGAAGGCCUUCGGGUUGUAAAGCCCUUUUGUUGGGAAAGAAAUCCAGCUGGCUAAUACCCGGUUGGGAUGACGGUACCCAAAGAAUAAGCACCGGCUAACUUCGUGCCAGCCGCCGCCGUAA
Molecule: ribosomal RNA, 506 nt
Filed under: uncultured bacterium
Lineage: Bacteria
Description: partial 16S ribosomal RNA
Rfam family: Bacterial small subunit ribosomal RNA
Source: RNAcentral